GAUUCGUCACACUAUCAUUAACUGAAUCCAUAGGUUAAUGAGGCGAACCGGGGGAACUGAAACAUCUAAGUACCCCGAGGAAAAGAAAUCAACCGAGAUUCCCCCAGUAGCGGCGAGCGAACGGGGAGGAGCCCAGAGCCUGAAUCAGCAUGUGUGUUAGUGGAAGCGUCUGGAAAGGCGCGCGAUACAGGGUGACAGCCCCGUACACAAAAGCGCAUGUGCUGUGAGCUCGAUGAGUAGGGCGGGACACGUGGUAUCCUGUCUGAAUAUGGGGGGACCAUCCUCCAAGGCUAAAUACUCCUGACUGACCGAUAGUGAACCAGUACCGUGAGGGAAAGGCGAAAAGAACCCCGGCGAGGGGAGUGAAAAAGAACCUGAAACCGUGUACGUACAAGCAGUGGGAGCACCCUUCGGGGUGUGACUGCGUACCUUUUGUAUAAUGGGUCAGCGACUUAUAUUCUGUAGCAAGGUUAACCGUAUAGGGGAGCCGGAGGGAAACCGAGUCUUAAUUGGGCGUUAAGUUGCAGGGUAUAGACCCGAAACCCGGUGAUCUAGCCAUGGGCAGGUUGAAGGUUGGGUAACACUAACUGGAGGACCGAACCGACUAAUGUUGAAAAAUUAGCGGAUGACCUGUGGCUGGGGGUGAAAGGCCAAUCAAACCGGGAGAUAGCUGGUUCUCCCCGAAAGCUAUUUAGGUAGCGCCUCGUGAAUUCAUCUCCGGGGGUAGAGCACUGUUUCGGCUAGGGGGCCAUCCCGGCUUACCAACCCGAUGCAAACUGCGAAUACCGGAGAAUGUUAUCACGGGAGACACACGGCGGGUGCUAACGUCCGUCGUGAAGAGGGAAACAACCCAGACCGCCAGCUAAGGUCCCAAAGUCAUGGUUAAGUGGGAAACGAUGUGGGAAGGCCCAGACAGCCAGGAUGUUGGCUUAGAAGCAGCCAUCAUUUAAAGAAAGCGUAAUAGCUCACUGGUCGAGUCGGCCUGCGCGGAAGAUGUAACGGGGCUAAACCAUGCACCGAAGCUGCGGCAGCGAACGUAUCACCCAAGACAACUUUACGGAGUUGACGAUUGACGGAGCGAAGCGACGUCAAAGCGUUCAUUAAAGUCGAGUUGGCUUAGGGAUACGUUCGUUGGGUAGGGGAGCGUUCUGUAAGCCUGUGAAGGUGUGUCGUGAGGCAUGCUGGAGGUAUCAGAAGUGCGAAUGCUGACAUAAGUAACGAUAAAGCGGGUGAAAAGCCCGCUCGCCGGAAGACCAAGGGUUCCUGUCCAACGUUAAUCGGGGCAGGGUGAGUCGACCCCUAAGGCGAGGCCGAAAGGCGUAGUCGAUGGGAAACGGGUUAAUAUUCCCGUACUUGGUGUUACUGCGAAGGGGGGACGGAGAAGGCUAUGUUGGCCGGGCGACGGUUGUCCCGGUUUAAGCGUGUAGGUGUGUGUUCCAGGUAAAUCCGGUUCACUUUAACACUGAGGCGUGACGACGAGGCACUACGGUGCUGAAGCAACAAAUGCCCUGCUUCCAGGAAAAGCCUCUAAGCAUCAGGUAACAUCAAAUCGUACCCCAAACCGACACAGGUGGUCAGGUAGAGAAUACCAAGGCGCUUGAGAGAACUCGGGUGAAGGAACUAGGCAAAAUGGUGCCGUAACUUCGGGAGAAGGCACGCUGACACGUAGGUGAAGUGAUUUACUCAUGGAGCUGAAGUCAGUCGAAGAUACCAGCUGGCUGCAACUGUUUAUUAAAAACACAGCACUGUGCAAACACGAAAGUGGACGUAUACGGUGUGACGCCUGCCCGGUGCCGGAA
RNAcentral lists this ribosomal RNA (1799 nucleotides) under Salmonella enterica subsp. enterica serovar Typhimurium. RNAcentral describes it as "partial 23S ribosomal RNA". It matches the Rfam family "Bacterial large subunit ribosomal RNA", at positions 137 to 1874 of the family's 2925-position model. The record is from RNAcentral. Lineage: Bacteria; Pseudomonadati; Pseudomonadota; Gammaproteobacteria; Enterobacterales; Enterobacteriaceae.